This 253-nucleotide ribosomal RNA is filed under the name uncultured bacterium. RNAcentral's name for it is "partial 16S ribosomal RNA". It matches the Rfam family "Bacterial small subunit ribosomal RNA", at positions 524 to 776 of the family's 1533-position model. The record is from RNAcentral.
UACGUAGGGGGCAAGCGUUGUCCGGAUUUAUUGGGCGUAAAGAGCGUAUAGGCGGUUAGGUAGGUCCGUUGUGAAAACUCGAGGCUCAACCUCGAGACGCCGAUGGAAACCAUCUGACUAGAGUCCGGAAGAGGAGAGUGGAAUUCCUGGUGUAGCGGUGAAAUGCGCAGAUAUCAGGAAGAACACCCGUGGCUAAGGCGGCUCUCUAGUACGGUACUGACGCUGAGACGCGAAAGCGUGGGGAGCGAACAGG